CCUACGGGAGGCAGCAGUGGGGAAUAUUGGACAAUGGGCGAAAGCCUGAUCCAGCCAUGCCGCGUGUGUGAAGAAGGCCUUCGGGUUGUAAAGCACUUUCAGUGGGAAAGAAAGCCUUGGGGCUAAUACCCUCGAGGAAGGACAUCACCCACAGAAGAAGCACCGGCUAACUCCGUGCCAGCAGCCGCGGUAAUACGGAGGGUGCGAGCGUUAAUCGGAAUUACUGGGCGUAAAGCGCGCGUAGGCGGUCUGAUAAGCCGGUUGUGAAAGCCCCGGGCUCAACCUGGGAACGGCAUCCGGAACUGUCAGGCUAGAGUGCAGGAGAGGAAGGUAGAAUUCCCGGUGUAGCGGUGAAAUGCGUAGAGAUCGGGAGGAAUACCAGUGGCGAAGGCGGUCUUCUGGACUGACACUGACGCUGAGGUGCGAAAGCGUGGGUAGCAAACAGGAUUAGAUACCCCAGUAGUC
RNAcentral lists this ribosomal RNA (465 nucleotides) under Vreelandella stevensii. RNAcentral describes it as "partial 16S ribosomal RNA". It matches the Rfam family "Bacterial small subunit ribosomal RNA", at positions 338 to 795 of the family's 1533-position model. Lineage: Bacteria; Pseudomonadati; Pseudomonadota; Gammaproteobacteria; Oceanospirillales; Halomonadaceae. The record is from RNAcentral.